RNAcentral lists this non-coding RNA (173 nucleotides) under Spirochaetota bacterium. RNAcentral describes it as "Spirochaetes bacterium (freshwater sediment metagenome) 6S RNA". It matches the Rfam family "6S / SsrS RNA". Rfam says of the family: E. coli 6S RNA was the first non coding RNA to be sequenced, but its function was unknown until recently. It consists of 184 nucleotides that fold into an extended hairpin structure with a large single-stranded internal bulge. The record is from RNAcentral. Lineage: Bacteria; Pseudomonadati; Spirochaetota.
AGACGCCUGCGCUGUUGGUGAUAGGAAUGUAUUUUUUUGAACCUAGAGCUUUUUAGGGAUCCCAAUAUUUGGCUGCAAUGGUCACGCCCUUCGGGGAAGACCUGACCAUCCGUGCGGGAACCCACCUGUUAAUCAGGUUCAAAAAGCUUACCUACACGGCAGUGCGGGUACUG